Alligator sinensis (Chinese alligator) is the source of this 586-nucleotide long non-coding RNA. RefSeq lists it as uncharacterized. Lineage: Eukaryota; Metazoa; Chordata; Crocodylia; Alligatoridae. The transcript is spliced from 4 exons. The record is from RefSeq and is a predicted model, not a curated record.
GCUGGAGGACCACUUAGUUUUGGUGAGUUGUUGGGGGCCAGGUACACACACCUGAAAGCUUGCACAGAAAGGAAUUUUUCUGCUACUAUUUAGUUGGUCUAAUAAAAGACAUUGCCUCUGACCCAAGGGCUUUGUUUAUCUCUCUUUCUCAGACCAACACAGCUACAACAUAGAUCCCCGAAUCCUAGAGAACUGGAUUUUAUGCCUGUCUUUGCCAUAUGUUUCCUAGAUGAUGCUGAUCAUCUCUAAACCUAAGGGACAGAAGAGGGAUCGUCACUUAAUCAUCACUUAAAACUGUCAUAUGUACUUCCAACUUUCAAAGGAGAUUACAAAAUGGAGUUAAUCUGAAGCAAAGUUCCAAGGUCUAGCCUAUCUGGAUUAUGGCCAGCAGUGGUUCCAGGUCAGGAUCUUCUAGUGGUUUUGCCAUGAAAUCACAGCUUCAGAUCACUAUUAUUUCAGCAAAAUUAAAAGAAAAUAAAAAUAAAUGGUUUGGACCAAGUCCUUAUGUGGAAGUCUCAGUAAAUGGACAGUCAAAGAAGACAGAAAAAUGCAACAAUACAAACAGUCCGAAGUGGAAACAGCAUCU